AAAAGGUUAGUUAAUUAUAACAUUAGUAUGUCACGCUAAAAUUAUUGAAAGCUCAAUACCUUUUA
RNAcentral lists this transfer RNA (65 nucleotides) under Potamanthus sp. MT-2014. Its description in RNAcentral is "tRNA-Asp". The record is from RNAcentral. RNAcentral also lists the same sequence under 2 other names. Lineage: Eukaryota; Metazoa; Arthropoda; Insecta; Ephemeroptera; Potamanthidae.